CAGCAGCCGCGGUAAAACGAAGGGUGCAAGCGUUAAUCGGAAUUACUGGGCGUAAAGCGUGCGUAGGCGGUGAGUUAAGUCUGCUGUGAAAUCCCCGAGCUUAACUUGGGAACUGCAUUUGAAACUGGCAAGCUAGAGUCUUGUAGAGGGGGGUAGAAUUCCAGGUGUAGCGGCGAAAUGCGUAGAGAUCUGGAGGAAUACCGGUGGCGAAGGCGGCCCCCUGGACAAAGACUGACGCUCAGGUGCGAAAGCGUGGGGAGCAAACAGGAUUAGAUACCCCGGUAGUCCCUGUCUCUUAUAC
This 301-nucleotide ribosomal RNA is filed under the name uncultured bacterium. Its description in RNAcentral is "partial 16S ribosomal RNA". It matches the Rfam family "Bacterial small subunit ribosomal RNA", at positions 509 to 807 of the family's 1533-position model. The record is from RNAcentral.